Long non-coding RNA from Oncorhynchus tshawytscha (Chinook salmon), 936 nucleotides. Lineage: Eukaryota; Metazoa; Chordata; Actinopteri; Salmoniformes; Salmonidae. The record is from Ensembl.
UGAAUAUUCAGUCCUAACCCUGCUACAGGCUACUGAAUAUUCAAUCCUAACCCUGCUAUAGGCUACUGACUUUUCAGUCGUGACCCUGCUAUAGGCUACUGAAUAUUAUUCAGUCGUGACCCUGCUAUAGGCUACUGAAUAUUCAGUCCUGACCCUGCUAUAGGCUACUGAAUAUUCAGUCCUGACCCGCUAUAGGCUACUGAAUAUUCAGUCCUGACCCUGCUAUAGGCUACUGAAUAUUCAGUCCAUACCCUAACCCUGCUAUAGGCUACUGAAUAUUCAGUCCUGACCCUGCUAUAGGCUACUGAAUAUUCAGUCCUUACCCUAACCCUGCUACAGGCUAGUGAAUAUUCAGUCCUGACCCUGCUAUAUGCUACUGAAUAUUCUGUCCUGACCCUGCUAUAGGCUACUGAAUAUUCAGUCCUGACCCUGCAGCUGAUUAUAGUUACUACUUAAUAUAAUAUGAUAAUAAGACUGCAUUCAUGAUGAAUGUUCAGUUCAGUCAGUUCAAUCAGAAAUGACCUUUAAAAUGGCACAUAGCUGACAAAGCGCUGGGAUUGAAUCCUGGUCUCAGUCUCAUGCUUGGUUUGAGUAGGACUCAGAAACCCAUUUCCACCAGAUAAAAGAGAGAUAGUAAUACUAUGGAUGCAUUAGAGGUACAUGUCUUGUUAAAGUUAGACACCAGGAGGUAUUAAAUCCAUGGCAUGAUGUCUUGUCUGGAUCCUGCACACUACUGGCUGGUGGCUGGAAUUCUCCUAGAAUGUAGAACUCUAGCUGGUGUUCUCUAGAACUGUACUCUCAUUCUGUUCCUCUGGGUGUUCUGCUGUCCAGUCAUUCCAAAAUAGAAUCUUUACUGUCUGUUGAGAUGAUCCCUGCAGCUGCUUGGUUUUAACUUUAAUCAUCACAAACCAAUAAAAUCAUCACACUAAUGAACAA